AGAAUCAACGCUGGCGGCGUGCCUAACACAUGCAAGUCGAACGAGAAAGUGGAGCAAUCCAUGAGUAAAGUGGCGCACGGGUGAGUAACACGUGACUAACCUACCCUUUAGUGGGGGAUAACCUAAGGGAAACCUGGGCUAAUACCGCAUAACACUUACGAGUCAAAGCAGCAAUGCGCUGAAAGAGGGGUCGCGGCCGAUUAGCUAGUUGGCGGGGUAAUGGCCCACCAAGGCAGUGAUCGGUA
This 245-nucleotide ribosomal RNA is filed under the name uncultured bacterium. RNAcentral describes it as "partial small subunit ribosomal RNA". It matches the Rfam family "Bacterial small subunit ribosomal RNA", at positions 26 to 285 of the family's 1533-position model. The record is from RNAcentral.